RNAcentral lists this ribosomal RNA (466 nucleotides) under uncultured bacterium. RNAcentral describes it as "bacterial SSU rRNA". It matches the Rfam family "Bacterial small subunit ribosomal RNA", at positions 329 to 793 of the family's 1533-position model. The record is from RNAcentral.
UUCCAGACUCCUACGGGAGGCAGCAGUGAGGAAUAUUGGUCAAUGGCCGAGAGGCUGAACCAGCCAAGUCGCGUGAGGGAGUACUGCCCUAUGGGUUGUAAACCUCUUUUGUCGGGGAGCAAAAGCCGGACGUGUCCGUCUGUGAGAGUACCCGAAGAAAAAGCAUCGGCUAACUCCGUGCCAGCAGCCGCGGUAAUACGGGGGAUGCAAGCGUUGUCCGGAAUCAUUGGGCGUAAAGAGUUCGUAGGUGGCACGUUAAGUCUGGUGUUAAAUGCAGAGGCUCAACCUCUGUUCGGCACUGGAUACUGGCGAGCUUGAAUGCGGUAGAGGUAAAGGGAAUUCCUGGUGUAGCGGUGAAAUGCGUAGAUAUCAGGAGGAACAUCGGUGGCGUAAGCGCUUUACUGGGCCGUAAUUGACACUGAGGAACGAAAGCCAGGGUAGCAAAUGGGAUUAGAUACCCGUGUAC